This 443-nucleotide ribosomal RNA is filed under the name uncultured bacterium. RNAcentral's name for it is "partial 16S ribosomal RNA". It matches the Rfam family "Bacterial small subunit ribosomal RNA", at positions 338 to 795 of the family's 1533-position model. The record is from RNAcentral.
CCUACGGGUGGCAGCAGUGGGGAAUAUUGGGCAAUGGGCGCAAGCCUGACCCAGCAACGCCGCGUGAAGGAAGAAGGCUUUCGGGUUGUAAACUUCUUUUCUCAGGGACGAAGCAAGUGACGGUAACUGAGGAAUAAGACACGGCUAACUACGUGCACGCAGCCGCGGUAAUACGUAGGUGGCAAGCGUUAACCGGAUUUACUGGGUGUAAAGGGCGUGUGGGCGGGAAAGCAAGUCAGAGUUGAAAACCAUGGGCUCAACCUGUGGCCUGCAUUUGAAACUGUUGUUCUUGAGAACUGGGGAGGCAGACGGAAUUCCUAGUGUAGCGGUGAAAUGCGUAGAUAUUAGGAGGAACACCAGUGGCGAAGGCGGUCUGCUGGACAGCAACUGACGCUGAGGCGCGAAAGCGUGGGGAGCAAACAGGAUUAGAUACCCUGGUAGUC